CAAUGAUUGUAAUAAUCAAGGGUACCGUUAUUUGAUACUCAUAUGUUGAUACUAUCUCCAAAGCUUCUAAUACAUUUUUAUAUGUUUAUUUUAUUUUAGGUUGCAAGUUUUUUCUCAACAAAUCAUAUAUAUAAAAGUAAUGUUUCACUCUCUCUUUAUUGGUCCAUUUAAUAUUUAAUUUUAAUCAAAACAAAAAAAAAAGACAUUUAAUCAUAUACAUUUAUUCAUACUUUAAAUCCACACUUUACUACAUCACUUUUAUCUUAUAAGUAGCCAUUCUCACAUUCUCCUCUACCAUAUCUCAUUUCUUCAUUAUUUUAUUUGUUUUUAAAAAAAUUUCUUUCAUGGGGUGAAAACUCAAUUAAGAUGUCAUUGUAUGUGUUUGAUUAAAUAUUUGGUUUAGACUUUUCUUUUCAAUUUUAUUUAUUUAUUUUUGUUUUUAUGUAUUUAUU
This 452-nucleotide long non-coding RNA is filed under the name Capsella rubella. RNAcentral describes it as "long non-coding RNA (CRUB_LNC003870)". The record is from RNAcentral. Lineage: Eukaryota; Viridiplantae; Streptophyta; Magnoliopsida; Brassicales; Brassicaceae.